ACUGAAGAGCUGCGCUGUGGCAUUAAGGAGAAGGAAACUGUGAAAAUGAGAUGAAUGGAGGUCUGAAGAGGAGCGGGAAAUGUCAAGGAGAUGGCGCUACGUCCAACCAGAGGUUGCCAUGGAGAUUGAAGGAUUUCUCAAACAUACAUGAAGGAAUCAAAGCAACAAUCCAGGCAGAAGUCAGUAAAUAAAUGAAAUGAAUCAGUCUUGGUAAAAGCUGGCAUCCAGAGGCUGGGGGCGUCCAGAGGCUGGGGGCGUCCAGAGGCUGGGGGCGUCCAGAGGCUGGGGGCGUCCAGAGGCUGGGGGCGUCCAGAGGCUGGGGGCGUCCAGAGCCUGGGGGCGUCCCAGACGUCACUCUGCCCUCCCCGUCUGAGACUCGCCAACCGACCGCAGCAGGAACUGAGAGCUGGCGAACGCAGCUCGAAGCGUCGCGUCUGCAGAGAGGGAGGAAAGAGUGAAGCUUCACUCUGUGAUGCAGCUGCUUUCUCUCUGUCAUGGAAGAAACGCUGCCUGUCUGCAGGGGUUCCCCAAGGCGCAGAGUGCAGACCCCUGCUCUUUGAAAAGUCUGACUUUAUCUGCUGUAUCAUUUCAUCUGACGCAGAUCAAUUUAUGACGACUCUGUGGAGACUUGAGGGGGGCAGAGGAGUAAACCUCAGAUGAUGCAAACAGAUCCUCAGGACAAGCAAGAGACAUUUUCUUCCCCUGGUUUGCAGUCGGUUCCUCUGGGCUCAUCAUGUUUAUAUCUUACUAACAUUUUCUAAGUUCACCAAACGGCACAUGCAGACAUGGAGAAAGAAAACAGUUUAUUCACUGACAGAUUUCACUCAUCAUCAUUUCUUCAUCUCCUUGAAAGCAGAACUGAGCUGAUUGUUGCAACGGCAAUCAGCAACUUCCUCACAUAAGCAACUGUUGCCAAUGUUUAACAAUCUGAUCUCCAGUUAGUCUUAAACAUGUUUGAAUUUUAAUAAAUUGGAAAUGUUGGAUAAGUGCAAUAAUCAGAUUAAAAUCUUAAAUUAGCAAAAGUUUUUUUUACAGUUGAAACAAAAUGUUUAAAAAUAAACAGACAUUUUGAAGAAAGUCAAACUGAACUUUCCUUGUUUAUUUAUUAAUGCCAGAAAACUUUGCAUGUUGUGUUUAAUUUGUUUGGAUUGUUUCAGUAUAAUAAAUAUUUAUUACUCCUAUAAA
Molecule: long non-coding RNA, 1185 nt
Organism: Gambusia affinis (western mosquitofish)
Lineage: Eukaryota; Metazoa; Chordata; Actinopteri; Cyprinodontiformes; Poeciliidae
Exons: 3
Source: RefSeq, a predicted model, not a curated record